UCGUUAACGAACGAGACCUCGACCUGCUAAAUAGUUCGACAAAGGUUCUCCUUUGGACGUGACUUCUUAGAGGGACUAUCGGUGUGUAGCCGACGGAAGUUCGAGGCAAUAACAGGUCUGUGAUGCCCUUCGAUGUUCUGGGCCGCACGCGCGCUACACUGAUGCAUUCAUCGAGUUUACAACCUUGACCGAUAGGUCUGGGUAAUCUUUGCAACAUGCAUCGUGCUGGGGAUAGAUCAUUGUAAUUAUUGAUCUUCAACGAGGAAUUCCUAGUAAACGCAAGUCAUCAACUUGCAUUGAUUACGUCCCUGCCCUUUGUACACACCGCCCGUCGCUAAUACCGAUUGAAUGGAUA
This 355-nucleotide ribosomal RNA is filed under the name Eukaryota sp. RNAcentral describes it as "SSU rRNA". It matches the Rfam family "Eukaryotic small subunit ribosomal RNA", at positions 1325 to 1699 of the family's 1831-position model. The record is from RNAcentral.